UCUGGUUAUGUGCAGAAACUGAAAAUAUGGAUCUUAUAGACGUUGAAACAGUAUGUGCUCUUCUGCUCUUCCAACUUUGGGGAACUAUUUCCUUGGUCACUUCCUCGACCAGGAGUUAAGUUUCUGCUGUAUUACUUAGAACUAGUCUCCUAAUUGAUAAUUGGACGGUUUCAGAGUUCUAUAUGAACCAUAAGGCUUUUAAGAUUUAGUGAGAAACAGCUAAACUGUCAAGGCUAAAGAGUGAAUGUGUGAAUUGGAGGCUCAGCUUUUUCGGUUCAAAAACCCAGGCGUGUGCAUGGAUACUGGGCCAGCUCGAGAACAGAUUGUCUAAA
RNAcentral lists this long non-coding RNA (332 nucleotides) under Eucalyptus grandis. Its description in RNAcentral is "long non-coding RNA (EGRA_LNC001825)". Lineage: Eukaryota; Viridiplantae; Streptophyta; Magnoliopsida; Myrtales; Myrtaceae. The record is from RNAcentral.